This 1873-nucleotide long non-coding RNA is filed under the name Daucus carota (carrot). RNAcentral describes it as "long non-coding RNA (DCAR_LNC007179)". The record is from RNAcentral. Lineage: Eukaryota; Viridiplantae; Streptophyta; Magnoliopsida; Apiales; Apiaceae.
CUUUAUCUCUUUCUUUUAUUCUCUCUUUUAUUCUCAUCUACCCGAUCGGAAAUUCGGAAUCACAGCAGCACGCAGGAGUCAUGGCAUCUAAAAGCUCUAUGGAAUCUCUCAACUCAACAGGUCGACUCAACUCAGCAAGUUGUAUAUCCUCGCAUCUCAGCAGGUCGAUUCUCUCUCAACUCGUUUUAUUUUCGCAUAUCAAAUCUCUCUUUUAUAUUUAUGCUUGUCUUCACUUGUGUUAAUUAGGAGUUGGGGAUUUGGAAUUAGGGGUUUGGCGAUUUUGAUUUUUGAUAUUUUAAUUAGGGAUUUGUGAUGUGUUAAUUAGGGAUUUUUGAUAUUUUAUUAGGGAUUUGUAAUUUUCUUAGUAGCUGGCUCUCUGUGUUGAGUAUAGUAACCAGUAGGUGGUUUCUUCACCUAUACAUCCUCUCUGUUUGCUGAUUUAUAUAAUCUUUUUUGUGUUUUAUGAAGUUCAUGAACUCUGUGUCCCUGUUAUCUGUGUGAUUACAUACUCUAAUUAAUUUUAGGUUUUUUUUAGCGAAAGAAGCUUCCUUUAUGAAGUAAUUAGCCAAGAACUAUUAGCCAAGAAGCUGUUCACCCUGCUCUUGACUCUUUAGUUCACCAAUUCCUGUCAAGAUUAUUUCUUUUUAGAGUUGUGAUUACUACUCAGGUUUGACUUAAAUUUGUAGUCUUCAUAUUACUUCUACAGUAGCUAUUUACUUUUCCUCUUAACAUGUAUAUUCGAUUGGUUGACACUGACACAGCAUGGUCCAGCACACUCCAAAUUAUCUUUCAGCUUAGACGGCUUAAUUGAUAAGCUAUGUUUAAUUCGAUAUAUACUACUUUCAUUGCUGCCUCUGUUUAUUUGUCGGGAUGGACAAACAAAUUCGCAUUAGUACAAUGCAGAAAUUCUCAAAUUUACACUCCAAAUUUUCUUUUCAGGUGUCCUUUUGUUGGAACACUUCUGCUUCCUUUUACAUUUGGAAUUAGAAGUUUUUUGUGAAUUUCUGUGAUAAUCUUGCUACAUCAGAACAUGAUAUUUUCAAAUGAGAGAUAAAUUGUGUUAGAUAGGAAAAUACAAUUAAAAUGAACGUUAUCACAUGCUUAGAAUGAUAUACUUUACACCGCAUUUGUUGUAGUUGUAAAAUAGUUUACCCUCGCAUUUAUGCAUUCAUUGUCGUUUUAUACACUGCAAAUGUGAUCCUUACAUCACAUUAUUGUAUUUUAUGCAGGCUAGUACUAGCAGCGGUGGAAGGGGAUGGGGACAGGGAGGUAAGAUGUGAGUUCUGUACACUGAUAUCUUAGUGUUUUACGUUUAGUAUUUUAUGUUGGAGUUAUAGAUAUGUAAUUUAACAUACAUAUUUCUCUAUAGAUGCUUCAAAUAUAUUUUAAUAUUAACCCUAGCUAGGUGUCGCCCCCCUUCAUGGUUUUAUAGGUGACGUAAUUGUUUUGGUUUCUUGAGCACAAUAAUUUAUUCACUGGUUGAAUUCCAGAUGUUUUCGUGUAAAAAAUAUGGUUUACAUACAUGAACAUCUGCUAAUCUGGUUUAUGUGUUAGAAGAAGACUAGGAAAACAGUUUCUUGACUACUUUUAUUUGUGUAGGAAAAUGUUCCUGAAGUUCCGGUGGAGAAUGAUUUCUUGUUAAAUGGGGAGCUCGACGGGGAGGAUGUACAUUGAUUCAUUAUCCUCUGUGUCCAUAGUCAGUUAAAGUAUGUAUUAGUUAGACUUUGUUGGAUGGUUAUUUAUUAGCUUUAGCUUUAUGUAAUCUGUUGGUAUGUACUGUUUGAUUGAGAUCAAACAGGAGAUGAUGUAUAGGGUUGUCGGACAUGUUGUGUAAAAUGUUGUAUCUAUUUUUAUGCAGCUUUGAUUUAUUUAC